ACCCGGUCCCAUCCCGAACCCGGCAGUUAAGCUCGCCAGCGCCGAUGGUACUGCCCUGGUAGCGGGGUGGGAGAGUAGGUCAUUGCCAAGG
RNAcentral lists this ribosomal RNA (91 nucleotides) under Chloroflexota bacterium. Lineage: Bacteria; Bacillati; Chloroflexota. The record is from RNAcentral.